RNAcentral lists this long non-coding RNA (2950 nucleotides) under Medicago truncatula (barrel medic). RNAcentral's name for it is "lncRNA gene21936". The record is from RNAcentral. Lineage: Eukaryota; Viridiplantae; Streptophyta; Magnoliopsida; Fabales; Fabaceae.
GUAGAGCCUUAUAAUUAUCCUCACAAUAAAAUAAAAUAUGUAAUGUUUUCUCAAGAUCCAAGAUAAUAAGUCAAGUCCAAAUAUUAAACUUGGAAUUGAUGUCACAAUACAAGUGCCUAUAACAUAAUUUAAACAUAAACAAUAAUCAAACAAACUUUUAAGAAAAACAUAAUAUAGGUUACAAAAUAAAUAUCCAUUUUAUUCUCGUACAUAAACACCUUGAUACUACUCCCCAGUCUUGUCAUGAGGAUAACCUAUAUAUACUAAUAGAAAAGAAACACAGAGAAAAAGGGGGUGAGAUUCUAUAAUAGAAAAAUAUAUAUUUAAAUAUAAUAUAUUGAGAAAUAUGAUAUAAGCGGGUAGCGGGAAUCGAACAAAUGGCACAUAAUAUCUAUGAUAUACGGGUUAUAAUGACAUUCAUUCAUAAUAUUUUAAGGGUUAUAAUGACAUUCAUUCAUGAACAUCUCUAAUUUAAAACUAAAUGUGAAACUUUUGUUUCAUUAAGCUCCUUUACAUAAUAUUUUAAGAGAUAUAUGAAAUACAUGAAGAAAAAAAAUGGCACAUAAUAUCUAUGAUAGCCUUUCGGUAUGAAUACAAUAUUAUUUGAAACUUAAAGUUGUACAAAAGUAGCAAUGCAUAGAAACAAACACACGGAUAUACGUUUAUGACUGCAACCCAUUUUAAGCGAACACAUAAUUGCAAAAGAGGUAUAUAUAUCAAAUGAACCGUUCAUAUACGCCUACUACAAUGCAUGUCGUACACAUUACUCGUACUUAAUAAAGUAGAAUAUGAUAACAAGGAAAGUAAAAGAAGAACCCAACCCCUUAGGGUGAAAUUUAGGACAUCACAUUCUCAAUAGUAUUAGAAUGUUAGGCAACUAGUCAGAGUUUCUCAACUAUAUAAAUAUGCCCUAAAAUCAAGGAAUCAUAAAGAGGUACUAGGGUUUCCACACCAAAGAGUUACUAGGGUUGACAAACCCCAUGGGGCCUUCACCAUCUAAUUCAUUUAAACUUCCACCCACAUCUUAAAAACACUCAAUAUGAUGUAUUUUCACAAAGUAACAUAAAAAAAUAUCAUUGUUUUAUUCUUCUAUAAAAAAUAUUAAUAUCAGUCCUUCCUUAUACAAUGUAGGUAUGUAAUAAAUAAAUUAUCAUCAAAGCACCAUCAUUGACUUUCUUGAGCUGCAUGUGCAACACAUAAAUUUUCAAGAGAAACCUUGUAAUUAAUUUAAAAGAAUAAUUCAUUUUUAUAAGAAUAAUUCAUUAGGAUCAUCUUUCAUAUUCAAUAUUUUACUUAUGUAAGAUAUGUCAUUGAUGAUAUAUUUUUCAUUUGUAAUAACAUAGUUAUGUAUUUGGAAUGUUUAAGGCAUUUAUAUGUUUAUUCUUCCUUAGUAUAUGUUAACUUAAGUAUAUUUUUAUUUUGUAGGUUUUAGUGUGAUUGUUGAUUAUUAUGAUCAUGAGGAUUAUAAGUAAGAUAAAGGUAAAUUAUUAUUAGGGAAACUAUGAUUAUGAUGAAAAUAAAUUAUGAGUAUGGCAAUCGACUAAUGUUAUGAAUAUGAAUGAAAAUAGAAACAUGACUUUGUCGUGCAAACAGAAAUUAUUAGUUAGUAAUUUUUACGGAUCAAGUUUUCAUGACUUAUAAAGAUUAUUGGUGGAGAAUUUCAUAAGGUUUCAUUGAUGUUACGUCACUACCGUGUGUAUGGGUGCACAUGAUGUAUUAUUGAUCCUAUCUUUUAUAAGGGGUAUUAUCAUUAUUGUGAACAUGGCUAGAUGCCACUAUAAUGGUCUAUUCUGGCCCAAAAUUUGGAUUCUGAUCAACUUAUAACAUUUUAACUACAUGAAAAGUAACAUGGCACUUUCACAUUGUUAUAAAGAGCAUUUGUGGCAUCAUAAUUUACCAGUUUGAUUGUGAACAAUUAGUUUAGCAUUUAUCAAAUACAUAGGAAUGAUCUGAAAUGAACUUUAAUGAUGAUGUAUAAUAUGAUUGUGUCCAGAAUCUGUGGUUGUUUAUUUUUGUGUUGUAAUUACUUCCAUCCCAUUAUUUUGACUUUUCUAGAGUCUUGGUCCCAUAUUUAAAAUGAUUCCCCUUUAGGGCUUUGGAUUUUAUUGUAUUGUUAGAGUACCCUUUAUACUCCUUUUUCAUUAUAUAUAUAUAUAUAUAUAUAUAUAUAUAUAUAUAUAUAUAUAUAUAUAUAUAUGAGAUCAAAUUACACCGAUUUAAUGUUACACCACUCAAUAUCGUUUUACUCGAUGCAUAUUUUUCAAAUUUGAAUGUUGGAUUGCAAGUUUUUAUCACAUAGAUCAUUCACGUAAAUUUUUACGAAAAUCUAAAAUCAUUUGAUAUGUUAUUCAGAUACAACAAAAUCAACGGUGUUUAUAAAAGUGAAUAAACAGUUAAUCUUAAUGUAUUUUAAUAACAUACAAAAUGAUUUUCGAUUUUCGUAAAAAUUUACGCGAAUGAUAUAUGUGAUAUAAAAUUACACUCCAACGAUCAAAUUUGAAAAAUAUGACGAUAUUGAAUGGUGUAACAUUAAAUCGGUGUACUUUGAUCCCUCCUCAUACAUAUAUAUACCCCUAAAAAAUAUAUUUAAAAUUUCUAUAAUGUGAUUAAAGAAAUUGCAAGGUAAAAGAAGUGCAUGAAAGAUAUGAACAAAUAAUAACAGUAACAAUAUUAUAAUGAGAAAAUAAAAUAAAAGGCUAAGAUCUAAAAGAGAAAUAAGUUUUACCCUAUUUGGUAUAGCUCACACAAUGACCGUAACGACACUUCGAUAGAUGUUGAUUGCCAUGGUAUUUUUUUUGGCAAUCAGCGCUAGUAACACACUCUCCUGUAAUAUAAAUUAAGGAUAACGAAAUAUUAUUAAAUAUGAGUGAAAUAUUUUCUCUAAGAUCAAAAAAAAUUAGAAUGAACUUACUAUCACCAUAAGUUACAUGAAGAAACAAACAAACAAAAA